GCAAGUCGAACGGUGACGAAUGGAGCUUGCUCUGUUCUUACCAGUGGCGAACGGGUGAGUAACACGUGAGUAACCUGCCCCUGACUCUGGAAUAACUUCGGGAAACCGAAGCUAAUACUGGAUAUGACACAGAGCUGCAUGGUUUCUGUGUGGAAGGUUUUUCGGUUGGGGAUGGACUCGCGGCCUAUCAGCUUGUUGGUGAGGUAAUGGCUCACCAAGACGACGACGGAUAGCCGGCCUGAGAGGGCGAUC
This 252-nucleotide ribosomal RNA is filed under the name uncultured bacterium. RNAcentral's name for it is "partial 16S ribosomal RNA". It matches the Rfam family "Bacterial small subunit ribosomal RNA", at positions 57 to 305 of the family's 1533-position model. The record is from RNAcentral.